RNAcentral lists this ribosomal RNA (297 nucleotides) under uncultured Rikenellaceae bacterium. RNAcentral describes it as "partial 16S ribosomal RNA". It matches the Rfam family "Bacterial small subunit ribosomal RNA", at positions 1086 to 1382 of the family's 1533-position model. Lineage: Bacteria; Pseudomonadati; Bacteroidota; Bacteroidia; Bacteroidales; Rikenellaceae. The record is from RNAcentral.
CCCAUAACGAGCGCAACCCCUACUGCCAGUUUGCCAGCGGGUCAUGCCGGGGACUCUAGCGGAACUGCCAGCGUAAGCUGCGAGGAAGGUGGGGAUGACGUCAAAUCAGCACGGCCCUUACGUCCAGGGCUACACACGUGUUACAAUGGCCAGUACAGAGGGCAGCCACCCCGCAGGGGGCGCUAAUCCUAAAAGCUGGUCCCAGUUCGGAUCGGAGUCUGCAACCCGACUCCGUGAAGCUGGAUUCGCUAGUAAUCGCGCAUCAGCCACGGCGCGGUGAAUACGUUCCCGGGCCUU